Molecule: transfer RNA, 72 nt
Filed under: Bradyrhizobium sp. SK17
Lineage: Bacteria; Pseudomonadati; Pseudomonadota; Alphaproteobacteria; Hyphomicrobiales; Nitrobacteraceae
Description: tRNA-Glu
Rfam family: tRNA
About the family: Transfer RNA (tRNA) molecules are approximately 80 nucleotides in length. Their secondary structure includes four short double-helical elements and three loops (D, anti-codon, and T loops).
Source: RNAcentral
GCUCCCUUCGUCUAGCGGUCAGGACGCUGGCUUUUCAGGCCAAGAACAUCGGUUCGAGUCCGAUAGGGAGCA